Molecule: small RNA, 21 nt
Filed under: Vibrio cholerae O1 biovar El Tor str. N16961
Lineage: Bacteria; Pseudomonadati; Pseudomonadota; Gammaproteobacteria; Vibrionales; Vibrionaceae
Source: RNAcentral
AGCGGAUUCAAACUCACCCCC